RNAcentral lists this ribosomal RNA (344 nucleotides) under uncultured bacterium. RNAcentral's name for it is "bacterial SSU rRNA". It matches the Rfam family "Bacterial small subunit ribosomal RNA", at positions 335 to 672 of the family's 1533-position model. The record is from RNAcentral.
ACUCCUACGGGAGGCAGCAGUGGGGAAUAUUGCACAAUGGGCGCAAGCCUGAUGCAGCCAUGCCGCGUGUGUGAAGAAGGCCUUCGGGUUGUAAAGCACUUUCAGUUGUGAGGAAGGUGGUGUCGUUAAUAGCGGCAUCAUUUGACGUUAGCAACAGAAGAAGCACCGGCUAACUCCGUGCCAGCAGCCGCGGUAAUACGGAGGGUGCGAGCGUUAAUCGGAAUUACUGGGCGUAAAGCGCAUGCAGGUGGUUUGUUAAGUCAGAUGUGAAAGCCCGGGGCUCAACCUCGGAACUGCAUUUGAAACUGGCAGACUAGAGUACUGUAGAGGGGGUAGAAUUUCGA